GGGGAAAUAGCUCAGUUGGUUAGAGUGCUUGUCUGUCACGCCAGAAGUCGCGGGUUCGAACCCCGUUUUCCUCG
This 74-nucleotide transfer RNA is filed under the name Triticum aestivum (bread wheat). Its description in RNAcentral is "tRNA tRNA-Asp". It matches the Rfam family "tRNA". Rfam says of the family: Transfer RNA (tRNA) molecules are approximately 80 nucleotides in length. The record is from Rfam by way of RNAcentral. Lineage: Eukaryota; Viridiplantae; Streptophyta; Magnoliopsida; Poales; Poaceae.